CUACGUGCCAGCAGCCGCGGUAAUACGUAGGUCCCGAGCGUUGUCCGGAUUUAUUGGGCGUAAAGCGAGCGCAGGCGGUUAGAUAAGUCUGAAGUUAAAGGCUGUGGCUUAACCAUAGUACGCUUUGGAAACUGUUUAACUUGAGUGCAAGAGGGGAGAGUGGAAUUCCAUGUGUAGCGGUGAAAUGCGUAGAUAUAUGGAGGAACACCGGUGGCGAAAGCGGCUCUCUGGUCUGUAACUGACGCUGAGGCUCGAAAGCGUGGGGAGCGAACAGGAUUAGAUACCCUGGUAGUCCACGCCGUAAACGAUGAGUGCUAGGUGUUGGAUCCUUUCCGGGAUUCAGUGUCGCAGCUAACGCAUUAAGCACUCCGCCUGGGGAGUACGACCGCAAGGUUGAAACUCAAAGGAAUUGACGGGGACCCGCACAAGCGGUGGAGUAUGUGGUUUAAUUCGAAGCAACGCGAAGAACCUUACCAGGCCUUGACAU
Molecule: ribosomal RNA, 487 nt
Filed under: uncultured bacterium
Lineage: Bacteria
Description: bacterial SSU rRNA
Rfam family: Bacterial small subunit ribosomal RNA
Source: RNAcentral